RNAcentral lists this ribosomal RNA (440 nucleotides) under uncultured bacterium. RNAcentral's name for it is "partial 16S ribosomal RNA". It matches the Rfam family "Bacterial small subunit ribosomal RNA", at positions 338 to 795 of the family's 1533-position model. The record is from RNAcentral.
CCUACGGGAGGCUGCAGUGGGGAAUAUUGCACAAUGGGGGAAACCCUGAUGCAGCGACGCCGCGUGAGUGAAGAAGUAUUUCGGUACGUAAAGCUCUAUCAGCAGGGAAGAAAAUGACGGUAGCUGCCUAAGAAGCCCCGGCUAACUACGUGCCAGCAGCCGCGGUAAUACGUAGGGGGCAAGCGUUAUUCGGAUUUACUGGGUGUAAAGGGAGCGUAGACGGCAGCGCAGGUCUGAAGUGAAAGCCCAUGGCUUAACCAAAGAACUGCUUUGGAAACUGUGCAGCUAGAGUGCAGGAGAGGUAAGCGGAAUUCCUAGUGUAGCGGUGAAAUGCGUAGAUAUUAGGAGGAACACCAGUGGCGAAGGCGGCUUACUGGACUGUAACUGACGUUGAGGCUCGAAAGCGUGGGGAGCAAACAGGAUUAGAUACCCGAGUAGUC